AGUGAACGCUGGCGGUAGGCCUAACACAUGCAAGUCGAACGGCAGCACAGUAAGAGCUUGCUCUUACGGGUGGCGAGUGGCGGACGGGUGAGGAAUACAUCGGAAUCUACUUUUUCGUGGGGGAUAACGUAGGGAAACUUACGCUAAUACCGCAUACGACCUACGGGUGAAAGCAGGGGAUCUUCGGACCUUGCGCGAUCGAAUGAGCCGAUGUCGGAUUAGCUAGUUGGCGGGGUAAAGGCCCACCAAGGCGACGAUCCGUAGCUGGUCUGAGAGGAUGAUCAGCCACACUGGAACUGAGACACGGUCCAGACUCCUACGGGAGGCAGCAGUGGGGAAUAUUGGGCAAUGGGCGCAAGCCUGAUCCAGCCAUACCGCGUGGGUGAAGAAGGCCUUCGGGUUGUAAAGCCCUUUUGUUGGGAAAGAAAAGCAGCAGGUUAAUACCCCGCUGUUCUGACGGUACCCAAAGAAUAAGCACCGGCUAACUUCGUG
RNAcentral lists this ribosomal RNA (492 nucleotides) under uncultured bacterium. RNAcentral describes it as "partial 16S ribosomal RNA". It matches the Rfam family "Bacterial small subunit ribosomal RNA", at positions 29 to 507 of the family's 1533-position model. The record is from RNAcentral.